RNAcentral lists this transfer RNA (73 nucleotides) under Candidatus Nanoarchaeia archaeon. Its description in RNAcentral is "tRNA-Gln". It matches the Rfam family "tRNA". From Rfam's summary of the family: Transfer RNA (tRNA) molecules are approximately 80 nucleotides in length. Their secondary structure includes four short double-helical elements and three loops (D, anti-codon, and T loops). Lineage: Archaea; Nanobdellati; Nanobdellota; Candidatus Nanoarchaeia. The record is from RNAcentral.
AGCCCCGUCGUCUAGCGGCCAAGGAUACGGGUUUUUGGGGCCUGUGACCCCGGUUCAAAUCCGGGCGGGGCUA